AACUGUCCUGACCACUCACUCUGUCUCACUCCUAGGGUUUCUAAGAGACAGGAAAGGAUGCUUCAAAGCAGCAGAGAGCUCUUGGCAGGAGGGUCAUCUCAGAGGCCCAAGAAUAUGAAGUGAUUUGUCCAAGGUCGCACAGACAGUUAGCGUCUGAGGAUAACUCUCUGGGUUGAUGAGGCCAAGAGAUGCAUUCAGAAAUGGAGGCUGUAUAAAAAUGAAUACUUCAUAAAUUCUCAUUGAUUGGGGAAUGGUGAAACAACCCAUGACACAUGAAUGGGAUGGAAUGUGAAAAUUCAGAGAAGCAUCAGAAGACUUCUGAACUGAUGACAUGGGGAGAAGUAAGCAAAACCAGGAAAACAAGGUGCACAAUGACCACAACUAUGUCAAUGGAACAAACAGUAACAGGAAUAGGAAUUGACACGGGGUAUUUAUAAUGAACAAGCUUGACCUCAAAGGAGGCACGUGAAAAGGGUUUUCUUGGCGGAGAUGCUGGAGUGGUUUGCCGU
Long non-coding RNA from Phascolarctos cinereus (koala), 509 nucleotides. RefSeq lists it as uncharacterized. NCBI's taxonomy places the organism in Eukaryota, Metazoa, Chordata, Mammalia, Diprotodontia, Phascolarctidae. The record is from RefSeq and is a predicted model, not a curated record.